AAGAAACCAACAGGGAUUGCCCUAGUAACGGCGAGUGAAGCGGCAACAGCUCAAAUUUGAAAUCUGGCUCUUUCAGAGUCCGAGUUGUAAUUUGCAGAGGGCGCUUUGGUGUUGGCAGCGGUCCAAGUUCUUUGGAACAGGACGUCACAGAGGGUGAGAAUCCCGUACGUGGUCGCUAGCCCUCACCGUGUAAAGCCCCUUCGACGAGUCGAGUUGUUUGGGAAUGCAGCUCUAAAUGGGAGGUAAAUUUCUUCUAAAGCUAAAUACUGGCCAGAGACCGAUAGCGCACAAGUAGAGUGAUCGAAAGAUGAAAAGCACUUUGGAAAGAGAGUCAAAUAGCACGUGAAAUUGUUGAAAGGGAAGCGCUUGCAGCCAGACUUGCCUGUAGUUGCUUAUCCGGACUUUUGUCCGGUGCACUCUUCUGCGGGCAGGCCAGCAUCAGUUUGGGCGGUUGGAUAAAGGUCUCUGUCAUGUACCUCCUUUCGGGGAGGCCUUAUAGGGGAGACGACAUGCAACCAGCCUGGACUGAGGUCCGCGCAUCUGCUAGGAUGCUGGCGUAAUGGCUGUAAGCGGCCCGUCUUGAAACACGGACCAAGGAGUCUAACAUCUAUGCGAGUGUUUGGGUGUCAAGCCCAGACGCGUAAUGAAAGUGAACGGAGGUGGGAACCCUUUGGGUGCACCAUCGACCGAUCCUGAUGUCUUCGGAUGGAUUUGAGUAAGAGCAUGGCUGUUGGGACCCCGAAAGAUGGUGAACUAUGCCUUGAAUAGGGGUGAAGCCAGAGGAAACUCUGGUGGAGGCUCGCAGCGGUUCUGA
Molecule: ribosomal RNA, 814 nt
Filed under: Alternaria alternata
Lineage: Eukaryota; Fungi; Ascomycota; Dothideomycetes; Pleosporales; Pleosporaceae
Also listed under: 1 other name
Description: eukaryotic LSU rRNA
Rfam family: Eukaryotic large subunit ribosomal RNA
Source: RNAcentral